RNAcentral lists this ribosomal RNA (420 nucleotides) under uncultured bacterium. RNAcentral describes it as "bacterial SSU rRNA". It matches the Rfam family "Bacterial small subunit ribosomal RNA", at positions 356 to 774 of the family's 1533-position model. The record is from RNAcentral.
AAGGAAUAUUGGUCAAUGGACGCAAGUCUGAACCAGCCAUGCCGCGUGAAGGAUGAAGGUCCUCUGGAUUGUAAACUUCUUUUAUCUGGGACGAACACGGGAUUUUUAUCUCAAUUGACGGUACCAGAGGAAUAAGCACCGGCUAACUCCGUGCCAGCAGCCGCGGUAAUACGGAGGGUGCGAGCGUUAUCCGGAUUUACUGGGUUUAAAGGGUGCGUAGGUGGGCUUAUAAGUCAGUGGUGAAAUCUCCGAGCUUAACUUGGAAACUGCCGUUGAUACUAUAGGUCUUGAAUUAUCUGGAGGUAAGCGGAAUAUGUCAUGUAGCGGUGAAAUGCUUAGAUAUGACAUAGAACACCAAUUGCGAAGGCAGCUUACUACAUAUAAAUUGACGCUGAGGCACGAAAGCGUGGGGAUCAAACA